GCGCCUAGUGCUAGUUGGUAAAGGCAGCACUCUAGAUGCUGAGGUCAUGGGUUCGACUCCCAUCAGACACA
Molecule: transfer RNA, 71 nt
Filed under: Uromyces viciae-fabae
Lineage: Eukaryota; Fungi; Basidiomycota; Pucciniomycetes; Pucciniales; Pucciniaceae
Description: tRNA-Sup (CTA) (tRNA-Sup-CTA-35-1)
Rfam family: tRNA
About the family: Transfer RNA (tRNA) molecules are approximately 80 nucleotides in length. Their secondary structure includes four short double-helical elements and three loops (D, anti-codon, and T loops). Further hydrogen bonds mediate the characteristic L-shaped molecular structure. tRNAs have two regions of fundamental functional importance: the anti-codon, which is responsible for specific mRNA codon recognition, and the 3' end, to which the tRNAs corresponding amino acid is attached (by aminoacyl-tRNA synthetases). tRNAs cope with the degeneracy of the genetic code in two manners: having more than one tRNA (with a specific anti-codon) for a particular amino acid; and 'wobble' base-pairing, i.e. permitting non-standard base-pairing at the 3rd anti-codon position.
Source: RNAcentral